GUCUGGCUAGCUCAUUCAGUAAAGUAUGAGACUCUUAAUCUUGGGGUCGUGAGUUCAAGCCUCACGUUGGACA
Molecule: transfer RNA, 73 nt
Filed under: Felis catus (domestic cat)
Lineage: Eukaryota; Metazoa; Chordata; Mammalia; Carnivora; Felidae
Rfam family: tRNA
About the family: Transfer RNA (tRNA) molecules are approximately 80 nucleotides in length. Their secondary structure includes four short double-helical elements and three loops (D, anti-codon, and T loops).
Source: Rfam by way of RNAcentral